UACGAAGGGGGCUAGCGUUGCUCGGAAUUACUGGGCGUAAAGGGCGCGUAGGCGGAUAUUUAAGUUAGAGGUGAAAGCCCAGGGCUCAACCCUGGAAUAGCCUUUAAUACUGGAUAUCUUGAGUUCGGGAGAGGUGAGUGGAACUCCGAGUGUAGAGGUGAAAUUCGUAGAUAUUCGGAAGAACACCAGUGGCGAAGGCGACUCACUGGCCCGAUACUGACGCUGAGGCGCGAAAAGCGUGGGGAGCCAAACAG
Molecule: ribosomal RNA, 254 nt
Filed under: uncultured bacterium
Lineage: Bacteria
Description: partial 16S ribosomal RNA
Rfam family: Bacterial small subunit ribosomal RNA
Source: RNAcentral